GAUGAAGAACGUAGCGAAAUGCGAUAAGUAGUGUGAAUUGCAGAAUUCAGUGAAUCAUCGAAUCUUUGAACGCACAUUGCGCCCCUUGGUAUUCCAUGGGGCAUGCCUGUUCGAGCGUCAUUUGUACCUUCAAGCUCUGCUUGGUGUUGGGUGUUUGUCCUUGCUCUAGUGGCGGGACUCGCCUUAAAGUAAUUGGCAGCCAGUGUUUUGGUUUUGAAGCGCAGCACAAGUCGCGAUUCAAGUCUAUACGCUAGUUUCCACAAGUCUUUUAUCACUUUUGACCUCGGAUCAGGUAGGGAUACCCGCUGAACUUAAGCAUAUCAAUAAGCGAAGGA
RNAcentral lists this unclassified non-coding RNA (335 nucleotides) under soil metagenome. Its description in RNAcentral is "partial contains 5.8S ribosomal RNA, internal transcribed spacer 2, and large subunit ribosomal RNA". The stretch from base 1 to 120 matches the Rfam family "5.8S ribosomal RNA", at positions 35 to 154 of the family's 154-position model. The record is from RNAcentral.